Molecule: ribosomal RNA, 279 nt
Filed under: uncultured bacterium
Lineage: Bacteria
Description: partial 16S ribosomal RNA
Rfam family: Bacterial small subunit ribosomal RNA
Source: RNAcentral
UGCCAGCAGCCGCGGUAAUACGAAGGGUCCGAGCGUUAAUCAGAAUCACUGGGCUUAAAGCGUACGUAGGCUGACUCGCAGGUAUCUUGUGAAAUCCCUCCGCUCAACGGAGGAACUGCAGGGUAAACCGCGAGUCUCGAGACAGGUAGGGGUUGUCGGAACGAUAGGUGGAGUGGUGAAAUGCGUUGAUAUCUAUCGGAACGCCAACGGAGCAGUCAGGCAACUGGGCCUGUUCUGACGCUGAUGUACGAAAGCGUGGGUAGCGAACGGGAUUAGAUA